AUUGAACGCUGGCGGCAUGCCUUACACAUGCAAGUCGAACGGUAACAGGUCUUCGGAUGCUGACGAGUGGCGAACGGGUGAGUAAUACAUCGGAACGUGCCCGAUCGUGGGGGAUAACGGAGCGAAAGCUUUGCUAAUACCGCAUACGAUCUACGGAUGAAAGCAGGGGACCGCAAGGCCUUGCGCGGACGGAGCGGCCGAUGGCAGAUUAGGUAGUUGGUGGGAUAAAAGCUUACCAAGCCGACGAUCUGUAGCUGGUCUGAGAGGACGACCAGCCACACUGGGACUGAGACACGGCCCAGACUCCUACGGGAGGCAGCAGUGGGGAAUUUUGGACAAUGGGCGAAAGCCUGAUCCAGCCAUGCCGCGUGCAGGAUGAAGGCCUUCGGGUUGUAAACUGCUUUUGUACGGAACGAAAAGACUUCUUCUAAUAAAGGGGGUCCAUGACGGUACCGUAAGAAUAAGCACCGGCUAACUACGUGCCAGCAGCCGCGGUAAUACGUAGGGUGCAAGCGUUAAUCGGAAUUACUGGGCGUAAAGCGUGCGCAGGCGGUUAUAUAAGACAGAUGUGAAAUCCCCGGGCUCAACCUGGGAACUGCAUUUGUGACUGUAUAGCUAGAGUACGGCAGAGGGGGAUGGAAUUCCGCGUGUAGCAGUGAAAUGCGUAGAUAUGCGGAGGAACACCGAUGGCGAAGGCAAUCCCCUGGGCCUGUACUGACGCUCAUGCACGAAAGCGUGGGGAGCAAACA
Molecule: ribosomal RNA, 749 nt
Filed under: uncultured Acidovorax sp.
Lineage: Bacteria; Pseudomonadati; Pseudomonadota; Betaproteobacteria; Burkholderiales; Comamonadaceae
Description: bacterial SSU rRNA
Rfam family: Bacterial small subunit ribosomal RNA
Source: RNAcentral